CCUACGGGCGGCUGCAGUGGGGAAUAUUGGACAAUGGGGGGAACCCUGAUCCAGCCAUGCCGCGUGUGUGAAGAAGGCCCUCGGGUUGUAAAGCACUUUCAGUGAGGAAGAACGCCUGGUGGUUAAUACCCAUCAGGAAAGACAUCACUCGCAGAAGAAGCACCGGCUAACUCCGUGCCAGCAGCCGCGGUAAUACGGAGGGUGCGAGCGUUAAUCGGAAUUACUGGGCGUAAAGCGCGCGUAGGUGGCUUGAUAAGCCGGUUGUGAAAGCCCCGGGCUCAACCUGGGAACGGCAUCCGGAACUGUCAAGCUAGAGUGCAGGAGAGGAAGGUAGAAUUCCCGGUGUAGCGGUGAAAUGCGUAGAGAUCGGGAGGAAUACCAGUGGCGAAGGCGGCCUUCUGGACUGACACUGACACUGAGGUGCGAAAGCGUGGGUAGCAAACAGGAUUAGAUACCCGAGUAGUC
Molecule: ribosomal RNA, 465 nt
Filed under: Vreelandella stevensii
Lineage: Bacteria; Pseudomonadati; Pseudomonadota; Gammaproteobacteria; Oceanospirillales; Halomonadaceae
Description: partial 16S ribosomal RNA
Rfam family: Bacterial small subunit ribosomal RNA
Source: RNAcentral